CUUAGGAAAUGAUCAGAGGCUCACCUGAACUAUUAUCCAUCCAAAAGUGGGAUUCAAAGAAGGAAGAGGGCCUAGAAAUGAGAAAGAAGCGAAAAAUAUGUUUGUUGAAAGGUCAACAUGGGUGUUUGGAAGAGGUAAUGCUAAUGAGGUAUUCGUAAAAUUGGAGAAUUUCGCUCUUGUCGCACAGCUGGAGUGCAAUGGCAGGCUGGAG
RNAcentral lists this long non-coding RNA (211 nucleotides) under Homo sapiens (human). RNAcentral describes it as "non-protein coding lnc-RWDD4-2:15". The record is from RNAcentral. Lineage: Eukaryota; Metazoa; Chordata; Mammalia; Primates; Hominidae.